UGCAUGAAUAAUAAGUAUAAAAACAAGAUUUUGAUAUAAGUUUUAAAAGCGUAAAUUAUCUAUUUCUAAAUACGUAAUUUUAUAAUAUAAAAAUUUUACUCAAAUUUUAUAUAAUAUGUUUUAAAACAUUAUUGAAUAUUUAUUUUCAAAACAAAAUAUUUAAUAGUUGUUUUAUAUGUUUUGGAUACCAAUAUCAAAAAAUGUUAAUUUUAUGAAAAUAGUUAUUAUUUUUCUUUAAAUUUAAAGUGAACUCAAAACCCAUAUAUUAAAGCAUUUAGGCUUCAAUUGGUGACCAUGGAAUAAAUGAAAUGAAUGAAAAUAAGUGCGAACAAAUUUUCAUUUUAUGAAUUGAAUUGGAAAAAGAAAAUUGAAUAAAAAGGAAAAAUGUAACGAAAGAAUUGAACAAAUAGUAAACAUGAAUGGUACGUAAAAAGAUGAACUUAUGUUUUCAUAUUUACUUUAUAGCUCUAUGGUAUAGUUUUGAUCUAUUAACUUUGCUUCUGCUUUCGUAGUUGAUUUUCUACGCAGUAACACAAGAAGAAUACUUAACAAUUUAUAGCGUUAGUGGGACAAUUACGAGAUUAAAGAAGAUAAGUUCAAUUUUUUUCUGUUUUCCUUUUUUUGGGUAUAUUGUACAGUUAAAUUGAUAUUAGAUGACAAUGAAAUAUAUUUUGGUAGUGUCUUACGUUUCUGAAUUAUCUUUAUUUUUUAUUUUGUUUUUGUAUUUUUAAAAAUUUUCUACUUGUUCCUCAUCAAAUUUAGAGGAGGAAAUAUUUUUUCAUGAGUUCCCACAGAUAUGAGGAAAAUAGAGGAAUAUAGUGGGACCCAUUUAUUAAAAAUUUGACAAAAAAUUCAACUUAAUUGGUAGUGAUUUUAAGGAACAACAAAUUCAUCACCAUUUUUUCAUAAAGAAUGGUCACCAAUUGAAGCCUUAAUAUGAAAAAGACAAUUGAGUUUAUUGGACCCAAAUCGUAUCCAAAGCUAUGAUAGAUUUAUUAAACCUAAAAUUUAGUUUUUAUUUACUUGUUUGAAUAUUUUAGAAUCUAUAUAUUUGGAAUGCAAAAAAUCUGGUAAGCAUAUUUGGAAAAUCGUAUGAAAUAUAUAUAUUAUGAAACAUAUUUAUGUGCACAGUCGGUUACAUUGAAUGAUAUGGAUUGUUACCUAAAACUAUUUUAAAGAAUUAAACAAUUGAUUGAAGAAUAAGAAGAUGCCAUAACUAAAUAAAAAAUAUAUUAAUGAGUGGCAUGCCAUUGUAAAUAACUCAAAUGGUUCAUCCGAGCGGGUGUUUAUUUCAUCUUUUAAUAAAUCUACUAGAUCAUGACCCGCUCGACCGAGCGGAAAUCAAACUUCUUUUAUCUUUAUUUGUACUAAAUGUUAUACAUGAUUGCAAGUGUAUUAAUAUAAAAUUUUGAUAAAUACAAUGUGUACUAAUGUGUUUAAAUAAACAAUGUGUUUAAUUACUAAAUUUGAUUUUUAAAAUUUAUGAUAAUGUAAAGUAGAUUUUUUUAUAUAUUAUUUUAAAUAUAUAGUGCUAUAUUUUGUAUUUUCAAUAUUUAUAAUACAAAACUUACAUUGGGGUAUUAUUUAUAUGAAAAUAUGUGUAACAUAAUAUAUUUAUAUAUUAUAUAAACAUAUCUACAAUUUUCGCAAAGGCCAUGCACACCCGCACGGGUUUUAUUUUUAAAAUGUAUUCUGUAUUGUUUAGUUAUGUAGUAUCGAGUUUGUAUAAUUCAAUUUUCUGUUUAAAGAACAAUACCAAAACUGUCUUUCGUAUGUAAAAAUAAUAUUUUGCAAGUGCGAGUUAUGUCUUUUUAUUGUAACACAAAAUUUGAUAUAAAACUUAUGUUUUUGUACAUUACGAAGUCUAAUUUUUUAAAAUAACUAUUACAUAAUUUGAAAUUGAAUUUUAUCACUGAGGUCUAAUAUAUUUUGUCUGUAAUGGUUCAAAGCAUUUUCGAUAUAUAUUAUAUUUCAGUUUGGUUUGUUUUUAGUAUUAUUGUAUAAGUAUAAUACUAUACAAUAUUACUAUAUUCUAUACAAUAUAUAAAGCUAUGUGUUAUUUGUUUUAGAAAGUAGAUUAGGCCCAAGGUAGUUAAAAAAUAGUCAAAUCUUUAUGUAUGUGUCUAUGAUUUAUCUACCUAAUGUUAUUCGUACUAAUAAAAUCAAUAUGGCCAAUGAAGUAUACUGAUCAAUUUAAAAUGAAUUGUAUAGGGUAAUUCUAGUAAGAUUAAUAUUUUAGUAUUCUUAGUAUCUAUCUUAUUUAAAUCGACAUGUAAUAAAUGUGAAACUAUAUAUGGAAUAUGGACAAAAAAAAGAAUUAUAUUUAAGGAAAUAUAUCAAUGCAAAGUUAGACUAUUGUACGUAUUAUGUAUAAGGAAUGAGACAUUUAAUUUAAAUAUAUGAGGUCCACUUUUAAAAUCUACAUAGAAGAAGUUGUAAUGUUUCUGAUUUAAUAAGAUGGAUUUAUAUAAAGUAUGGUAUACUCCCUCCGGGUGCUGCCACAUAGGAUGUCAGGUCAGAAAUUCGAGUUCUCUGCCGCUGACACGUGUCCACCCACGCAAAACGUUCCGUUUCAUUUAAAGUGAUGAUAUUGUGUUUGGGCUUGCGAUUGUCUUCAUGACAUUAUUGUGUUUUCUAAAGCCCAAAACUAAAGGUUAAGCUAUUGAAACGCGUCGUUUUUAAUUUUUUUUUUCCAUCCCGUUCCUUUUGCGCCGCUGAGAUAUCGGAUGAAUCUCUAGGAUUUACGAACCAGUUGUUUCAUCUUCUCUCUAACGAUCCAGGAAUCCACCAGUUACAGAUUCAUUCCAUUAAAGUCGUUCUUCAAUUCAUCGUCCAAGAUCUACCUUAAAUGCAGCUUUCGCUCUUGCUCUUGAGAGUCAGUGGAACUUCUAAGUAUAAAAAGGUGUCUGUAGUUAACUCUACUACGUAUGAGGCUUAAGCCUCCGACGAGGCGAUGACAAGGAGCGAGUAGAACAUUACGCACAUUGACCGUAUCAGUUAAAUUUACUUGCUUUGAUUUAUGACGAUUCAGAAGUCCAGAGAGAAGGUGUUGACGAAUUCGAUGCAACCAUCACAAAACAGUUCUUCUUAUAUCUCUGAAAGCUGGAGUCGAACUGAAUCUAACCGCAUCUUCACACAUCUUCUUAACGGUUACCAUUUCUGUUCAAACUUGCGUUUAAAUUCUUCUUGAUUAUGAAGAGUUGAUGAUUCCUCCGUUUCUUGAAAUGCUUAUGAUCCAUCAGUGGAAGAGCAAUCGAUCAUAUGAGAAUUAAUUUCGUAGGGCAGAGAAAAUGGCAUGUGGAAGAAGCUUCAUUGUUAAAGUAAUACUAUAAAAUGCAUUCUCAUUGAGUUUCUUACACCAGGUGGAGCAUGCAAAGUGCAAAUUGUCUUACAUUGAGAACACUUCUGGCGGAGGAGUUAGAUUUUGCGUGGAGCAGCAUAUGAUUUGGGGAGGAUGUUGUUUCAACCGUGACAAGGAAGAAUCUUGAGAGCUAUGGUUUCCCUGCUUCCUGAAUUGGUUCUAAACAAGCAGAAGAACGUCAAGAGAAAACGGAACGUUAUGAUCUGGUUGGACAUGAAGCUUGUGGAAUGCAACUGGAUCGUUUGGUGCAAGCAAUUUUAUUGUAAAACAAACCAUGAGAAAAAGGUGGUCAAGGAAGGUGAUGGAAGAUCUAACUCCAUUAACGGAGCUAUAAUAGGAGAAACUUUAAAGCUUGCAUCAACAAGUCCUGCAACCAAGUUUCCCCCGUUAAUUGUUAUUUUUAAAGACAAUACUAUCAGUUUUUUUUUGAACACCAUACUAUCAGUUUUUUUGUCUUUUUUUUUGCAUUUAUGAAUUGAUCCCAAUAGUCUAAAAGCUUCCGUUCAUAUUGAUAAAGCCUUUUCUUUUGUAACUUCCAUUCACUAGAAAUAAAAAAAAGUUUCAAAUUUCUUCUUGAUUUUUCAUUUAUGUUACAGAUUAAAACAAAUCUUUGGUACAAGCAGAUGUUACUUUAAGUUAGUUUCAGCUGCGGUUAGUUUAGUGUUUAAUGUUGUUUGAAAUGUCAAUUUGAUCUCUUCCUAUUGCAAGUGGUGCAGCAUCAUCUAUAUCUACUACAUAUAUGCUAAAUAAUUAUCAUAGUCAAUUUACAUAAUAUAACUUUGUAUAUAUAUAUAUUUAAUAAACAAAGGAAAUACUUUUAUUCAACAAUAAACUAUAAUCAAUAUAGUUACAUAUAUAAUAAAAUUCUUCUUCCAAGGAUUAUAUUUUAUAAGUUAGUCAGUAAAUAUUUAUUUUUGGGACAAAAAGUCAGUUAUAUUUAUUUCAAAAUUCUAAUCAAUUAUGUUGAUAUAUAAUAAUAAUAAUAAUACCUAUAAGACAAACAUGUAUAUAUAGAAAAAUAUAAUCCUCAAAUAU
Raphanus sativus (radish) is the source of this 4396-nucleotide long non-coding RNA. RefSeq lists it as uncharacterized. The record is from RefSeq and is a predicted model, not a curated record. NCBI's taxonomy places the organism in Eukaryota, Viridiplantae, Streptophyta, Magnoliopsida, Brassicales, Brassicaceae. The transcript has 6 exons.